This 436-nucleotide ribosomal RNA is filed under the name uncultured bacterium. RNAcentral describes it as "bacterial SSU rRNA". It matches the Rfam family "Bacterial small subunit ribosomal RNA", at positions 55 to 527 of the family's 1533-position model. The record is from RNAcentral.
AUGCAGUCGAACGCGAACGCACCUUCGGGUGUUAGUAGAGUGGCGGACGGGUGAGUAACACUUGGGAAUCUGCCUAGUAGUGGGGGAUAACUCGGGGAAACUCGAGCUAAUACCGCAUACGCCCUACGGGGGAAAGAUUUAUCGCUAUUAGAUGAGCCCAAGUCAGAUUAGCUAGUUGGUAGGGUAAAGGCCUACCAAGGCGACGAUCUGUAGCUGGUCUGAGAGGACGAACAGCCACACUGGGACUGAGACACGGCCCAGACUCCUACGGGAGGCAGCAGUGGGGAAUAUUGGACAAUGGGCGAAAGCCUGAUCCAGCAAUGCCGCGUGUGUGAAGAAGGCCUGCGGGUUGUAAAGCACUUUCAGUUGGGAAGAUGAUGACGUUACCAACAGAAGAAGCACCGGCUAACUCCGUGCCAGCAGCCGCGGUAAUACG